This 253-nucleotide ribosomal RNA is filed under the name uncultured bacterium. Its description in RNAcentral is "partial 16S ribosomal RNA". It matches the Rfam family "Bacterial small subunit ribosomal RNA", at positions 524 to 776 of the family's 1533-position model. The record is from RNAcentral.
UACAGAGGGGGCAAGCGUUAUUCGGAAUUAUUGGGCGUAAAGGGCGCGUAGGCGGCGAUUCAAGUGACGGGUGAAAUCCCUCGGCUUAACCGAGGAACUGCCUGUCAGACUGGGUUGCUUGAGACCGGGAGAGGCGAGUGGAAUUCCCAGUGUAGCGGUGAAAUGCGUAGAUAUCAGGAGGAACACCGGUGGCGAAGGCGCCUAUCUGGCCCGAUACUGACGCUGAGGCGCGAAAGCUAGGGGAGCAAACGGG